AGUCUGGAUGGACUUGGUAGGUAUGGUGGAUAGUGGUGGUUCAGUCUGGAUGGACUUGGUAGGUGUGGUGGAUAGUGGUGGUUCAGUCUGGAUGGACUUGGUAGGUGUGGUGGAUAGUGGUGGUUCAGUCUGGAUGGACUUGGUAGGUCGUGGUGGAUGGUGGUGGUUCAGUCUGGGUGGGCUUGGUAGGUGUGGUGGUUCAGUCUGGAUGGACUUGGUAGGUAUGGUGGAUAGUGGUGGUUCAGUCUGGAUGGGCUUGGUAGGUGUGGUGGUUCAGUCUGGAUGGGCUUGGUAGGUGUGGUGGAUAGUGGUGGUUCAGUCUGGGUGGGCUUGGUAGGCGUGGUGGAUGGUGGUGGUUCAGUCUGGGUGGGCUUGGUAGGUGUGGUGGUUCAGUCUGGAUGGACUUGGUAGGUAUGGUGGAUCGUGGUGGUUCAGUCUGGAUGGACUUGGUAGGUAUGGUGGAUAGUGGUGGUUCAGUCUGGAUGGACUUGGUAGGUGUGGUGGAUCGUGGUGGUUCAGUCUGGAUGGACUUGGUAGGCGUGGUGGAUAGUGGUGGUUCAGUCUGGAUGGGCUUGGUAGGCGUGGUGGAUAGUGGUGGUUCAGUCUGGAUGGACUUGGUAGGCGUGGUGGAUAGUGGUGGUUCAGUCUGGAUGGACUUGGUAGGUGUGGUGGAUAGUGGUGGUUCAGUCUGGAUGGACUUGGUAGGCGUGGUGGAUAGUGGUGGUUCAGUCUGGAUGGGCUUGGUAGGCGUGGUGGAUAGUGGUGGUUCAGUCUGGAUGGACUUGGUAGGUGUGGUGGAUAGUGGUGGUUCAGUCUGGAUGGACUUGGUAGGCGUGGUGGAUAGUGGUGGUUCAGUCUGGAUGGACUUGGUAGGCGUGGUGGAUAGUGGUGGUUCAG
This 897-nucleotide long non-coding RNA is filed under the name Salmo salar (Atlantic salmon). RNAcentral describes it as "lncRNA (ENSSSAG00000086174.1)". The record is from RNAcentral. Lineage: Eukaryota; Metazoa; Chordata; Actinopteri; Salmoniformes; Salmonidae.